Saccostrea echinata is the source of this 229-nucleotide long non-coding RNA. RefSeq lists it as uncharacterized. Lineage: Eukaryota; Metazoa; Mollusca; Bivalvia; Ostreida; Ostreidae. The record is from RefSeq and is a predicted model, not a curated record. The transcript has 3 exons.
CAUUGAUUGGCGAACAGUCGUAUUGUCUAUAGCUGGAAGUUUUCUUGUUUGUUUCAUAUUUGGGAUUGGAAUUUACUGUAAACUGAGAAAUGAUUAUUCCAGUAGAUCAUAUUUCUUGGAGGACAAACUAAGGGACUUCUAACAAUAUGUACGAUGAAUGCCAGGAUUAUACUGUAUACAGUGUUAUUUCACCCUUUCACACUUGCAAACAAUUUUGCCCCGUUUUGAA